Paramuricea clavata is the source of this 548-nucleotide non-coding RNA. NCBI's taxonomy places the organism in Eukaryota, Metazoa, Cnidaria, Anthozoa, Malacalcyonacea, Plexauridae. The record is from the annotation of a GenBank genome assembly.
CUGCCACUCCUGGUUUUGCUAAAGAUUUCUUCAACAUUUUCGUCAUCAUCAUUGUCACUUUCAUCACUUUCCAUGUCAUCAGUGGAUGAUUCCAUGCACAUGUCGGCUGUAUCACCAAAUACCAGGUCAUUGUCACUGUUUUCACUUUCCAGCUCUUCAUCAGAGGUGUCUGAAUCAACAGUAAGUUUGUCCUGGGCAGGUACAAAAAGUUGAUUUAGCAUCGUCGAGGCUAUGUGAGCAGAAAUUUACUUGACUUUCUCUGUUUUCUUAAGAUGAAGUGAUUUGCAAAGACCAAAGUGGUUGAGAUAUUUAUCUAAUUCUGUCACUUUCAGUUUCUUGACCAAACCAUCUUUUAAAAGUACAGGCCAUUUAUAGUCUUUAAAUGUUUUCUUAUUUUGUUGUCCUUUUUCAAUUUCCCGUUUUUCAGCUCUUUUGCUUCUGUUAAUCUCUAACACUUUCAAAUGAUCAAGAUACUUUUUCAGCAAUGUUCUGUCAACAAUGUAUUUUUUGCUAAACUCUUCAAUUUCUUCAUCUGUAGAGAGCGUUUG